RNAcentral lists this long non-coding RNA (323 nucleotides) under Manihot esculenta (cassava). RNAcentral describes it as "long non-coding RNA (MESC_LNC012322)". Lineage: Eukaryota; Viridiplantae; Streptophyta; Magnoliopsida; Malpighiales; Euphorbiaceae. The record is from RNAcentral.
UCUUACAUAGUGCCAGCGAACAUAGAAUGGAUCCCACUAGUCUUACAUUCCUUACCGUACGUAUCACAUCGUCACAUCAUAGAUCGAGGGCUAUGGAUCAUCCAACAUUCAUCCACAUCAACAUUAAAAUGUGCAAUGCAACAUAUUCGUGGAUUCUAAUGCAAACAACCUAAAACAUCACAUGGCAUUCAUGAUGCAUGAACAUGCUCAAAACUGUACAAUUGAUUUACUUAAAAACAUAAAGGUUUAUUCCACUCACCUCUGGAUAGCUCUGACCAGACACUGGAGCAGCUGACUCACUGCUGGGGUCCUCGGUUCCUCGG